CUUCAUGGUUCAGGCAUUGCAUAAUUUUUUUAUUUAACCUUUCCCACUCCUCAUAUAAGGGUUCACCACUAAGUUGACAAAAAUUUAUGAUUUCAUCUCUUAGUUG
This is a non-coding RNA of Capsicum annuum, 106 nucleotides long. Lineage: Eukaryota; Viridiplantae; Streptophyta; Magnoliopsida; Solanales; Solanaceae. The record is from Rfam.